Molecule: ribosomal RNA, 297 nt
Filed under: uncultured bacterium
Lineage: Bacteria
Description: partial 16S ribosomal RNA
Rfam family: Bacterial small subunit ribosomal RNA
Source: RNAcentral
GACGAACGCUGGCGGCGUGCUUAACACAUGCAAGUCGAGCGGUAAGGCCCUUUCGGGGGUACGACGAGCGGCGAACGGGUGAGUAACACGUGGGUGACCUGCCCUUACGCUCUGGGAGUAAAGCCUGGGAAACGUAGGGUCGUAAUACCGGAUAUGACUCCAUGACGCAUGUUGUGGGGUGGGAAAGCCUUGUGCGGCUAGGGAUGGGCCCGCGGCCUAUCAGCUUGUUGGUGGGGUGAUGGCCUACCAAGGCGACGACGGGUAGCCGGCCUGAGAGGGCGACCGGCCACACUGGGA